RNAcentral lists this ribosomal RNA (430 nucleotides) under uncultured bacterium. RNAcentral describes it as "bacterial SSU rRNA". It matches the Rfam family "Bacterial small subunit ribosomal RNA", at positions 354 to 796 of the family's 1533-position model. The record is from RNAcentral.
GUGGGGAAUAUUGCACAAUGGGCGCAAGCCUGAUGCAGCAACGCCGCGUGAGGGACGACGGCCUUCGGGUUGUAAACCUCUUUUAGCAGGGAAGAAGCGAAAGUGACGGUACCUGCAGAAAAAGCACCGGCUAACUACGUGCCAGCAGCCGCGGUAAUACGUAGGGUGCAAGCGUUGUCCGGAAUUAUUGGGCGUAAAGAGCUCGUAGGCGGUUUGUCGCGUCUGCUGUGAAAACCUGAGGCUCAACCUCGGGCCUGCAGUGGGUACGGGCAGACUAGAGUGCGGUAGGGGAGAUUGGAAGUCCUGGUGUAGCGGUGGAAUGCGCAGAUAUCAGGAGGAACACCGAUGGCGAAGGCAGAUCUCUGGGCCGUAACUGACGCUGAGGAGCGAAAGCGUGGGGAGCGAACAGGAUUAGAUACCCUGGUAGUCC